RNAcentral lists this microRNA precursor (60 nucleotides) under Saccoglossus kowalevskii. Its description in RNAcentral is "Sko-Mir-4818-P6_pre stem-loop". The record is from RNAcentral. Lineage: Eukaryota; Metazoa; Hemichordata; Enteropneusta; Harrimaniidae.
CCUUGGUAUCAUGUGCAUAUAGGUUUAAUAAGUGAUCCCAUUGCACAUGAUAGUGGGGCU